GUCGAGAAUCUUUCACAAUGGGGGCAACCCUGAUGGAGCGACGCCGCGUGGAGGAUAAGGUCUUCGGAUUGUAAACUCCUGUCAUGCGUGAACAAGGUUGCUUGGUUAAUACCUGGGCAAAUUGAUGGUAACGCAAGAGGAAGAGACGGCUAACUCUGUGCCAGCAGCCGCGGUAAUACAGAGGUCUCAAGCGUUGUUCGGAAUCACUGGGCGUAAAGGGUGCGUAGGUGGCGUGGUAAGUCAGAUGUGAAAGCCAGGGGCUCAACCUCGGAACUGCAUCCGAUACUGCCAUGCUAGAGUACUGGAGAGGUGACUAGAAUUCUCGGUGUAGCAGUGAAAUGCGUAGAUAUCGAGAGGAAUACCAAAGGCGUAGGCAGGUCACUGGACAGUUACUGACACUGAGGCACGAAGGCCAGGGGAACGAACGGGAUUAGAAACCCGAGUAGUCC
Molecule: ribosomal RNA, 449 nt
Filed under: uncultured bacterium
Lineage: Bacteria
Description: partial 16S ribosomal RNA
Rfam family: Bacterial small subunit ribosomal RNA
Source: RNAcentral